GACGAACGCUGGCGGCGUGCCUAAUACAUGCAAGUUGAGCGCUGAAGGUUGGUACUUGUACCAACUGGAUGAGUAGCGAACGGGUGAGUAACGCGUGGGGAAUCUGCCUUUGAGCGGGGGACAACAUUUGGAAACGAAUGCUAAUACCGCAUAAAACUUUAAGCACAAGUUUUAAGUUUGAAAGAUGCAAUUGCAUCACUCAAAGAUGAUCCCGCGUUGUAUUAGCUAGUUGGUGAGGUAAAGGCUCACCAAGGCGAUGAUACAUAGCCGACCUGAGAGGGUGAUCGGCCACAUUGGGACUGAGACACGGCCCAAACUCCUACGGGAGGCAGCAGUAGGGAAUCUUCGGCAAUGGACGAAAGUCUGACCGAGCAACGCCGCGUGAGUGAAGAAGGGUUUCGGAUCGUAAAACUCUGUUGGUAGAGAAGAACGUUGGUGAGAGUGGAAAGCUCAUCAAGUGACGGUAACUACCCAGAAAGGGACGGCUAACUACGUG
RNAcentral lists this ribosomal RNA (496 nucleotides) under uncultured bacterium. Its description in RNAcentral is "partial 16S ribosomal RNA". It matches the Rfam family "Bacterial small subunit ribosomal RNA", at positions 28 to 507 of the family's 1533-position model. The record is from RNAcentral.